GCUAGUAAUCUACAAUUACUAUGUUUACAGUGGUGCUUAUCUGCUUGAUACUUUUUUGAAUUGAUCAUAAAGCAUAACAUGCAUGCUAAAGUUCAUCCAGUUCCUAGCUCCUACUCAUUUUGCAUCAUGUUGCACUAACUUGCUUCUGUAUGUCGUUGAUUUUAUUUUCACCAAAUACACUUCAUUGUGGCACUGGCAAAUCCCCCACUUGAUAGGAAUAUAAAAAUAUACAUAAGCUCGAAUGUGGAGAAGGCCAAUAUGUACCUCCAGGUAGCAAUCUUGUAACAAUUCCAUGACAUCUAGCAGAAGUUGCUUGCUUGGAUUUAUGAUUGUAUGUUAUGAUGGUGCUGUUAUAAGCCAUUUCAGAAAUGACAUGACAAGCACUAAUGGUGCUGUUAACUCAAUAUGUUUGGUUAAUGUUUGUUAACAACGGGGGAAAAAAAUGAUGAAAUCAAAUUGUUAUGAAACAUUGAAUGGCUAAAGUAAAUUGGAGCGACUUAAAUACGGAG
This 509-nucleotide unclassified non-coding RNA is filed under the name Hevea brasiliensis (rubber tree). The record is from RNAcentral. Lineage: Eukaryota; Viridiplantae; Streptophyta; Magnoliopsida; Malpighiales; Euphorbiaceae.